Molecule: long non-coding RNA, 2649 nt
Organism: Brassica napus (rape)
Lineage: Eukaryota; Viridiplantae; Streptophyta; Magnoliopsida; Brassicales; Brassicaceae
Exons: 3
Source: RefSeq, a predicted model, not a curated record
CGUCUGUAGGGUCGUUUAAAAUCUAUCCUAUACUAAAAGUUGGAUAUAAUGAACAGAGAAGGGGUCCACGUAAGCAAAAAAUUCGUAGCCAAUAAUAGUGCCAUGUCAGCAACAAUGCCACGUUAAAAAUCAUUGUUCGAACCAGGCUUUUCGUGGCCUUUGAAAUUCAUUGCUAACCUGUCUUUCCUCUAAGCCUAACAUUGGCCCAUACUCUCUCUAAAACCUAAUACCUGUAAAACGACAAUCCUCCAUGGUCGUCCUCUCAUCCUAUCACCACUUCCAUCUGUACAGCUUCCCCUUCACCUCUUCAACGUAUUCAUUCAACAUAUUAAGCCUCAUAAAGCUCAAUAAUUAACUACAGAUAUCCUAGCGCCAUGAAUCGAUUUCUAUCCCACCACCUCAAAACUAUAUAUAUCCCUCAUCUAUUCUUCCCAUCCCUCUUCACCAGUCACGGAAAUCAAUCGAUCAGAGCUACUAAUGGCAACCAGAGGACGAAAUCAACCUGUGAUUCAACCAUGACCUUUUCUUCAGUGACGUUGUUGCUGGCUUGGCUGGAGCUUCUUCUUAUUAAUAAAGAACUUUUAGUUUCUCCACCAGGGUUCUUGGAACACAACAGGUUUGUGUUGAUGGUAACAUUACUUAAAAUUUGAAUGCACACUCUAAUUUUGUUUUUUUUUUGUUAGGUUGAUGCACAUAUUUACCGGUGGAGAUGGGACACUAAGAUUGUGAUUUCAGAUGUUGAUGGAACUAUUACAAAGUAACAGCUUCUGGAUCCUUACUAAUUUUUCUUCAUAUUAGAAUUAUAAUAUCUAGACAUAUGCUAAUGUGAUGAUCCUUUUGCUGCAGAUCUGAUGUGUUAGGUCAGUUCAUGCCUUUGGUUGGAAGGGACUGGACACAGUCUGGUGUGGCCAAGAUUUUUUCAGCUAUAAAGGUAAUUUUCAAGGUUUAAGUUAGUUUAGCUUCUCAGACUUUAAUUUGGUAAAACAUGAGAUCCAACUACUGCUUAUGUAAGAUACAGUUUGUAAUUAUGGAUCUCACAUUAUGCCUUGCUUUGUAUUUCUUUCAGGAGAAUGGAUAUCAGCUGCUGUUUCUGAGCGCUUCUGCCAUUGUCCAGGCAUAUCUAACAAGAAGUUUCUUAAAUAAUCUAAAGCAGGUAAGACUUGACAGCUUUUUUACCAUUGAAUUGGUACUCGAAUCCAUACUUAUUAAUACAAUAACAUUAGUCUAAUUAACUCAAAUGGUAAUCAUGUGAGGCUAUGUAUAGCCUUUUUUUUUAUGAGAUCUCUUUGCUUCUUAUGGAUUUUUUUCCUCCGGCUUGCAGGACCGAAAAGCUCUACCAAACGGUCCUGUAGUCAUUUCACCAGACGGGUUGUUUCUCUUUUUUUUUUUUAACUCAUGUACUUUAUAACUACCUUGCAGUGAUAGGAAGAGCACCUCACAAAUUCAAGAUCGCAUGUUUGGAGGAUAUCAAGAAGCUUUUCCCAGAGCACUAUAACCCGUUCUUCGCUGGAUUUGGAAACAGAGACACUGAUGAGCUGAGUUACAGCAAACUCGGAAUCCCCAAGGGAAAUAUAUUCAUAAUCAACCCAAAGGGAGAGGAAGCAACAGGAGAUCGAGUAGAUGUCAAGUAGUCUUACACAUCACUUCAUUACUCAUUUUAAUUGAUAGUUGUGAACUCCAUCUGACUCAAAAAAAUUGUUUAGGUUGGCUCAAAACCAAGAUGUUUCUGCUAUGGUCAAUGCAUCUGAGCUGACAGGUCAAGAUGCUAACCAUUCGUGAGAUCUUGCCUUAUUGAGAAGGAAAUGAAAUUAAAAAAAAACUAAUAAGUACGUGUUUACUUUUUAUUAAUAUAUAUGCAAAUCACAACACAUCAAUCUCUCAAAACUAGAGGAAAUAUAUAAUUAAUAAAAUAAAAUAAUUUGUUUAUAUAGUAUAGAAAUAAUCAGAGUGAAGAUAAUCAGAAUGAAAAAAAAAACAUAAAUCAAAACUAAAUUGUUGCUACGAAGACCAAUUCCACCCCACUUAUUUAUAUCCAACAAAAAUAACAUAUUACUAUUCCAACCAACUAAACCAUUAUAUUACUUUCUUCCACGUGUAUUUAAAAAUUAGAUACAGAUCCGUGCAGUGCAGUGCACAAAGUUAAUUUGAUGUUUUAAUUUCAUAAAAACAUAAAAAAAUGAAUUUUUCACAUUAGUUCUUGGAUUUUUCAGUAUAUAUCGGCAUAAUACUUAUUUUAGUAAUAACAAUCCAUUUCCUUACACAAAUUGUGAUUAGUAUUUAUAUUUCAAUAUUUAUGGUGUUUUAAAAUAGUAUAUUAUUUUUUAUAUAUAUUUAACUUUUAAAUAUUUUUCAAAAUAUUAUUAGUUAAUUGAAACAUAUAGAAUUGUAAACUCUCUCUACUUUUUAUAUUUCUUAAGACAAAUUAAAAACAACAUUUCAAACUAUUAAUGUUACACGACACAAAUCAAUAUGUAUUAUUGAUAGUCAGGUAGAUAUCAAAUAUAUUGCAAGACAAACAUCAAAUUUGUUUACUUUAGCAUCAAUGGUGUGAUUAUAAAACUAUUUUUUAUUAUCUUAAUAUAUAUAUUUUUUAAUUUUAACGCAUAUCACAAUCUUAAAUAUAUAAUUCAUAUAAUUUUUAAAAAUUAU